This is a long non-coding RNA of Cucurbita moschata (crookneck pumpkin), 1077 nucleotides long. RefSeq lists it as uncharacterized. The record is from RefSeq and is a predicted model, not a curated record. The transcript is spliced from 4 exons. Lineage: Eukaryota; Viridiplantae; Streptophyta; Magnoliopsida; Cucurbitales; Cucurbitaceae.
CCCUCGUCAAGAUACCUCCCGCCAUUCCCGUUGUCUAGGAGUCACUAGUACUCUUCAAAACCGAUCGCCAUUUCAGGAUUUCUCGGCGUCACCAACCACCAUGCCGAUAGUUCUACUUUCUACAUCCACUUCUGAUCUCUGUUUCUCAUUUCCUGCCAGUUCCCUUAUUCCCCGCCUUGUUCACAAUCGGAGUUGGAUUCAUUUCGCUGCUUCUUGAAAUUCAGGAUCGCUAGAGGGCGCCUGCGCAUGUCCAAGUUGCUGCGGCUUUGCCUUUCAAUCUGUCUCUAAGUAACUUGGCUGGUCGGUUUUUACAAGUUUCUCUGUCAAUACAGAGGAUUUUUUUUUGUUUGAAGAUGGCGCAGCGGUAUAGCUUUGUCCGAUGCUGGGAAGUUUAAGAAGUGAAAGAACUCUUGUGUACUUGAAGUGUAGUCUGCUUCUAGUCUCUAUUUUGAAUGUUCAUUUUUCUCGCGGUUUUUGAACGUUCAUUUUUUCGAGGACAAAUUUAGUGGGGAUUUUGCUUAGUGAUCAGGAAUCAUCGCGCAAUUCAGGAGACAUGGAUGCUGAAAUUUUAAUUGUUGGGGGUAACUGGAGUGGAUUUUAGCUGGCUUGUACUGGUCUCUAAAGCACUGGUGUGGUGCACAUCAUUGUUGGUAUAAAACAGGUCUGUAACCUCGUAUUCAAAGGUGCAUGAUACAUAAGUUCUCUGGAAAUGUUAGGAUGUAUGCCAUUUUGGAUUCAAUAGCAUCUGGGCCAAUUGAAGCUCGUUGCAGUCCAUACUCGACUGUGGUCGGGAUGGGAGUGUCCAUGAAAGGAAUAGAACAGAAUCCUGUUAUCUACGAUCUUGUGUCUGAAAUGGCUUUUCAACGCAACAAAGCCGAUGUCAAGGUACACAUAUUUUAUUAUGAUUUAUAAAUAUGAUGACCCAUUUACUUGGUUGCCAGUUGUAUUCAUGUUCCAUCUGCGGAAAGCUGACAAUUGACACCAAAUAGAUUAAAUUAAAUAUAGUUUAGAGCCGAACACCCGAAUGAAUUGUUCUUUAGAAUUGUCAAAGCAUAUCCCUUAUAUGAUGCGCAAAGA